UCCCUGGUGGUCCAGUGGUUAAGACUCAGUGCUUCCAAUACAGGGGGCCCAGGUUUGAUCUCUGAUCAGGGAA
Bos taurus (domestic cattle) is the source of this 73-nucleotide non-coding RNA. The record is from Rfam. NCBI's taxonomy places the organism in Eukaryota, Metazoa, Chordata, Mammalia, Artiodactyla, Bovidae.